Xenia sp. Carnegie-2017 is the source of this 533-nucleotide long non-coding RNA. RefSeq lists it as uncharacterized. The record is from RefSeq and is a predicted model, not a curated record. NCBI's taxonomy places the organism in Eukaryota, Metazoa, Cnidaria, Anthozoa, Malacalcyonacea, Xeniidae. The transcript has 3 exons.
UUAUACAUCCUGUGUUUUACACAUUCUGCAUUAUACUCUUUAAAGAUUGUUCAAAUUUCAAUGUUUUAACCGUCCCCCCCCCCUCCUCACCCCUUACAGACUCUCCACAAUCCAAAAAUAGCAUUUUCCGUUUCAUAACUACAGCACAAUUGCAGAAGGACUUUUGAAAACAGUUGGUGGUUAUCGCUCUCCAGCAAUGAAAUGCUUCAUUUUGGUUUAACACCUUAGAGAAUUCACGUGGAAACUUUGAGCUGAUUGAAUUUUAUAAUAUUAUCUAUAGAAAGAAGGGAGGAAGAAUAAAGAAACCUUGAUGAGGAUGACGAGGAUAAGCUAUAUAUGGAAAGAUACGACCACCAGCAGCUCACUUACAAUGAUAGACUUGACAUUUUUCCUGUUAGUCAGUACUACGUUAUCACAAGCGAGUGUUCAUUCUAAAGUCUGCGACUUUGAAAAUGGCCUGGGUACGAAUUUAUGUCCAUGGUACAAUGUUGUGGGAAUUGAUGAUUACAACUGGACUGUCCACAAUUCUCAAA